Molecule: unclassified non-coding RNA, 175 nt
Filed under: uncultured Inocybe
Lineage: Eukaryota; Fungi; Basidiomycota; Agaricomycetes; Agaricales; Cortinariaceae
Description: sequence contains ITS2
Source: RNAcentral
AUAUCUCAACCACACCUUUGGGUGAGGCUUGGAUCUGGGGGGUUUUGUGCAGGCUCCAGCUUUGUGGUCUGCUCCCCUGAAAUGCAUGAGUGGUCUCAAUCCUCCAUUAGGUGUGAUAAAUUAUCUGCAUCUGAUGGAAAGGUCAUGGGCUGCUAUACCUCGUUGGAGUUGAUAA